This 500-nucleotide ribosomal RNA is filed under the name uncultured bacterium. RNAcentral's name for it is "bacterial SSU rRNA". It matches the Rfam family "Bacterial small subunit ribosomal RNA", at positions 29 to 524 of the family's 1533-position model. The record is from RNAcentral.
AUUGAACGCUGGCGGCGUGCCUAACACAUGCAAGUCGAGCGGCAGCGCGGGAGCAAUCCUGGCGGCGAGCGGCGGACGGGUGAGUAAUGCUUGGGAAUCUGCCUGUUAGUGGGGGACAACCCGGGGAAACUCGGGCUAAUACCGCAUACGCACUACGGUGGAAAGCCGGGGACCGCAAGGCCUGGCGCUAACAGAUGAGCCCAAGUCGGAUUAGCUAGUUGGUAGGGUAACGGCCACCAAGGCGACGAUCCGUAACUGGUCUGAGAGGACGACCAGUCACACCGGAACUGAGACACGGUCCGGACUCCUACGGGAGGCAGCAGUGGGGAAUAUUGGACAAUGGGGGAAACCCUGAUCCAGCGACGCCGCGUGGGUGAAGAAGGCCUGCGGGUUGUAAAGCCCUUUCAGUGGGGAAGAAAAGCCUCGACCUAACACGUCGGGGUCUUGACGUAACCCAUAGAAGAAGCACCGGCUAACUCUGUGCCAGCAGCCGCAGUAAU